CGCAUCUGUGCAUGCAGCAUAUCAAUAAGCGGAGGAAAAGAAACUAACAAGGAUUCCCCUAGUAACGGCGAGUGAAGCGGGAAGGGCUCAAAUUUGAAAUCUUAAAGGGUUUUCCCUUUACGAAUUGUAGUUUAAAGAAGUGUUUUUCUGUUGAGGUUUUUGGUAAAAGUUCUUUGGAAUAGGACAUCAUAGAGGGUGAGAAUCCCGUAUUUGACCUUUACUUUCAACUUUGUGAUACACUUUCAAAGAGUCGGAUUGUUUGGGAAUGCAGUCCAAAAUGGGUGGUAAAUUUCAUCUAAAGCUAAAUAUUGGCGAGAGACCGAUAGCGAACAAGUACCGUGAGGGAAAGAUGAAAAGAACUUUGAAAAGAGAGUUAAACAGUACGUGAAAUUGUCAAAAGGGAAGCGUUUGACACCAGUGUUGUUUUUUCUGAAAAUCAAUUAAAGAACUGUUUAUGCUAAGCUGUUUAGACUUUAUCAGCUAAUCUGUUUAGUUUUGAGCUUUUCCUUUAAUGCACUUUUCAGUUAACAAGUCAACAUCAAUUUCUUUUGCUGUAAAAAAGCUUGAGGAAGGUGGCUUGAGAUUCGUCUUAAGUGUUUAUAGCCUCUUGCCUAUGCAGUCGGAGAGAUUGAGGUCUGCAGCGUAGAUCCUUCGGGGCUAAAUGCAUUUGUGCUAAGUUAUAGCAUUUUAUAGACAACUUGUUGACUAUGAUUUGUCUUGUAGCUUACUCGCUUAUGUUAUUUUACCUACGCUUAGGAUGUUGAGCGCAUGUCUCUCUCU
This 780-nucleotide ribosomal RNA is filed under the name uncultured Neocallimastigales. RNAcentral's name for it is "partial large subunit ribosomal RNA". It matches the Rfam family "Eukaryotic large subunit ribosomal RNA", at positions 26 to 641 of the family's 3401-position model. Lineage: Eukaryota; Fungi; Neocallimastigomycota; Neocallimastigomycetes; Neocallimastigales. The record is from RNAcentral.